Molecule: ribosomal RNA, 375 nt
Filed under: uncultured bacterium
Lineage: Bacteria
Description: bacterial SSU rRNA
Rfam family: Bacterial small subunit ribosomal RNA
Source: RNAcentral
UACGGAGGGUGCAAGCGUUAAUCGGUAUUACUGGGCGUAAAGCGCACGCAGGCGGUCUGUCAAGUCGGAUGUGAAAUCCCCGGGCUCAACCUGGGAACUGCAUUCGAAACUGGCAGGCUAGAGUCUUGUAGAGGGGGGUAGAAUUACAGGUGUAGCGGUGAAAUGCGUAGAGAUCUGGAGGAAUACCGGUGGCGAAGGCGGCCCCCUGGACAAAGACUGACGCUCAGGUGCGAAAGCGUGGGGAGCAAGCAGGAUGAGAUACCCUGGUAGUCCACGCCGUAAACGAUGUCGAUUUGGAGGUUGUUCCCUUGAGGAGUGGCUUCCGGAGCUAACGCGUUAAAUCGACCGCCUGGGGAGUACGGCCGCAAGGUUAAA